UUCAAAGUCUCCCUUCUUAUCUGUUCUCGUGUGUUAUUUCUGUUUUGAACUAAAUUAAUAUGAUUUGUAUGUGUCUAGUAUCUAACACAUAUUAUGGAUGUUACAUUCUUAUGGAGAUUUGUAUGGCAGGCUCCAUGCUGCCUAUAUGGAUCAUUGUACACAAAGGGGACUGUUAAGGUGGUCUUUAUAUUUGCAGGUUUAUCCACAAAAAGGGAACACAUUUCAAACAUGGAUUCAUGCUUAAUAUUAAAUUUUGUUAUGAUUUUUUUGAUGCAUUGGAUGUGAAAACUGAGAAAGGAUGAUAUUCAUUUUGAAAGUUAUAUUCACACUUAAGCUAGUUUCUGUGAUCUUUAUAUUAGUUUGUGCAAAUUGAAUCACAUGAAAUAUGGAAGCUCAAACUGAUUUUUAGCUAAUCCAGUUAAAGAAUGAUGAUGGCAAAACUGUUACAUACUCUUCUGAAUGAAUUGUUGGAAAUUUUUUUGCUGGAAUUAGUUUACUAUUUAGCAUAUACUGGUCAUUUGUCGUUACAAUAAACACAUACUAAUUAUAUCUGAUAGACUUAUACAAGGCAUCUGUUUUUGCAUUUUUAUGUCCCAUAAGCUAUAGCUGUAACUGCAAAGGAAGAAUAUUUUAGUUUGCAUCAGUAUUCUCUUAGUGCUUGGUCUUUGAUGAGCUAGUAGCGUUAUGUAUAAAAGAAGUUAAUUUUUCUUGCUUUUGCUUUUUGAAUUUUAAAUAACUCAGUUCAAACCUUUUUUUUUUUUUUGGCUAAAAACCUUCAAUUCCUGCUCCCAUCUUUCUUGGGGUGUUUUGGUUGUUGGCAGGGGCGGAGCCAGGAUUUUCUUCAGGGGCGGGCCGGCAGUCUGACCUCUGAAUCCGGGUGGAACAGCACAUACUGCACUUUUUAUGUGGACAUUCAAAUGGACAAAUAGCGCAGAGGGAUUUGAAUGUACGACUCCUAGUUAUGGUUGUACAGUCAAAGUACCUAAACCAUCUCGUUAUCCACUUGUUCUGUAGAUCUGAUUCAGUCUUUACCGUAUUACUUGUUCUACUUAUGAAGCUUGCGUAUGGCUAAGUGAGAAUAUGUAAGGGAGGUCAGGCUCUGAUAGUUUGAUUCAACUUUUUGGUUUCAUUUUAUGGUGUCUGUUCAUGAUCAACUUUCACUCUGGGUAGAGAUUAAUUACUGAAAUAUGAUCCCUGAAAUUAUAGUUGCUGCUGAAAAUCGCAAUGGUCAUUUACAUCUUUUACAUGAAACUGGUUUUCACU
Nymphaea colorata (pocket water lily) is the source of this 1263-nucleotide long non-coding RNA. RefSeq lists it as uncharacterized. The transcript is spliced from 2 exons. The record is from RefSeq and is a predicted model, not a curated record. Lineage: Eukaryota; Viridiplantae; Streptophyta; Magnoliopsida; Nymphaeales; Nymphaeaceae.